AGGGUGUAAACGCUGCAGACUUGGUGUUGGAAGUCCUUUGGGGGCAUUCAGUGCCGGAGAGAAGUUGUUAAGUCUGCUACUUGGGGAGUACGUCCGCAAGGAUGAAACUUAAAGGAAUUGGCGGGGGAGCACCGCAACGGGAGGAGCGUGCGGUUUAAUUGGAUUCAACGCCGGACAUCUCACCGGAUAAGACAGCUGAAUGAUUGUCAAUCUGAAGGUUUUACAUGACUAGCUGAGAGGUGGUGCAUGGC
Molecule: ribosomal RNA, 251 nt
Filed under: uncultured archaeon
Lineage: Archaea
Description: partial 16S ribosomal RNA
Rfam family: Archaeal small subunit ribosomal RNA
Source: RNAcentral